Long non-coding RNA from Diabrotica virgifera virgifera (western corn rootworm), 1117 nucleotides. RefSeq lists it as uncharacterized. The record is from RefSeq and is a predicted model, not a curated record. NCBI's taxonomy places the organism in Eukaryota, Metazoa, Arthropoda, Insecta, Coleoptera, Chrysomelidae. The transcript has 3 exons.
CUAACAACACACAACAUUCCAGGAAUGUACUACCAAAGUUCUAUCAAUAUUUGAAUGUCCUGGACAUUUAGGGAACAUUCGGUGAACAUCUGUUUAAAUUAUUCCUGGAAUGUUACCAUAAGACAUUCUGUGAACAUACUACCAAUGUUCCUAUAUUUUAAGUUGCGAAAUAAUACAUACGUGUAAGAGAUACAACAUUACUUAUAACAUACCAGACAAACUAAGUGACAUUUUAGGCCUACAGUGCAAUAAUAUGUCAAAUUUAAAGAGUUUCCCAAGAUUAUAAACAUACAAAUGUAAUAAAAAUUAUUGUUCGCGAAUAUUCAAUUUGGAAUGCGAUUUUGUUAAUAAAAAAAAUACUUAUAACUUAUGCAAAACCCAAGAGAGGCAUUUAUAUUUAUUUCUUUUGCGUUCAUUUUCAAAUUCGCCGUGCAUAUAUUUUUGUGCAUGGCGCUUGAGAGGGCAUCACGUGACUAAAAACGACCAACCAACGACCUCGCUUCGGCCAUCUUGGCAUCUUCAUCUUGGCGACCUUGCCUUGCCGUGGAUUGUUUUUAGUUGUAUGUAUUAUUUGUGCUUUUUAAGAAUAUUUUUUUAAUUCGGAUACUUUUAUAAUAGCUUUAAUAGUAUUAUUAACAUAGUGCAUAAAAUGGUGUCCUGUUUUUAACGCAGUUGGAGUAGCAGAAACAAAUGUAGAUAAAAAAAUCUGCAGGAAUAACGUUUCAAUUAUGACAGAAGCUCAAAACAAAUGACUGUGAAUGAAAAGCCCUAUUAAAAGCUUUCCAGAAGAUCCUGCGAAGAAGACAUGAAGUAUAGAUCAGAUUUGUUAAUAGAGGAGUAUGUUCAAAACACUUUUUAGAAAAAGAUAUUGACAGAACUUCACUUUCAUCUGUUCGUUUGAGAGACUGUGCUGUUCCAAUAGCUUAUGUCACACAGAAUCAGCUGAGUGAAGUGGUCUACAAAAAACCAGAAAGGAAACGGAAUAUGUGGCUACGAAAAGCAAAAGAAAGGUUUACAAAGCAAAUGUGACACAUUUUUUUAUAAUAUUUAGGAAUGUCAGCAAAUUACAUUAAAAAAUGUAUGUAAAGAUUUUUUGCAAUAAAAAUGUUUAUAUUUA